GAUGAACGCUGGCGGCGUGCUUAAUACAUGCAAGUCGAGCGAACAGACGAGGCGUUUGCUCCUUUGACGUUAGCGGCGGACGGGUGAGUAACACGUGGGUACCCUACCUAUAAGACUGGGAUAACUUCGGGAAACCGGAGCUAAUCCCGGAUAAUAUUUCGAACCGCAUGGUUCGAUAGUAAAAGUUGGCUUUGCUUUAUCUUAUCGAUGGACCUCCGCCGUAUUGGCUAGUUGGUACGGUAACGGCUUACCACGGCAACGAUACGUAGCCGACCUGAGAGGGUGAUCGGCCACACUGGAACGGAGACACGGUCCAGAGUCCUGCGGGAGGCAGCAGUAGGGAAUCGGCCGCAAUGGGCGAAAGCCUGACGGAGCAACGCCGCGUGAGUGAUGAAGGUCUUCGGAUCGUAAAACUCUGUUAUUAGGGAAGAACAAACGUGUAAGUAACUGUGCACGUCUUGAUGGUACCGAAUCAGAAAGCCACGGCUAACUACGUG
Molecule: ribosomal RNA, 497 nt
Filed under: uncultured bacterium
Lineage: Bacteria
Description: partial 16S ribosomal RNA
Rfam family: Bacterial small subunit ribosomal RNA
Source: RNAcentral